This 72-nucleotide transfer RNA is filed under the name Camelus bactrianus (Bactrian camel). It matches the Rfam family "tRNA". Rfam says of the family: Transfer RNA (tRNA) molecules are approximately 80 nucleotides in length. Their secondary structure includes four short double-helical elements and three loops (D, anti-codon, and T loops). Lineage: Eukaryota; Metazoa; Chordata; Mammalia; Artiodactyla; Camelidae. RNAcentral also lists the same sequence under 2 other names. The record is from Rfam by way of RNAcentral.
GCGGGAAUAGCUCAGUGGUAGAGCAUGAGCUUAGUGUGCACAAGGUCCAGGGUUCAAUCCCCAGCACCUCCA